Molecule: ribosomal RNA, 301 nt
Filed under: uncultured bacterium
Lineage: Bacteria
Description: partial 16S ribosomal RNA
Rfam family: Bacterial small subunit ribosomal RNA
Source: RNAcentral
CAGUAGCCGCGGGAAUACGAAGGGUGCAAGCGUUAAUCGGAAUUACAGGGCGUAAAGCGCACGCAGGCGGUUUGUUAAGUCAGAUGUGAAAUCCCCGAGCUUAACUUGGGAACUGCAUUUGAAACUGGUAAGCUAGAGUCUUGUAGAGGGGGGUAGAAUUCCAGGUGUAGCGGUGAAAUGCGUAGGGAUCUGGAGGAAUACCGGUGGCGAAGGCGGCCCCCUGGACAAAGACUGACGCUCAGGUGCGGAAGCGUGGGAGCAAACAGGAUUAGAUACCCGGGUAGUCCCUGUCUCUUAUACA